Molecule: signal recognition particle RNA, 299 nt
Filed under: Saimiri boliviensis boliviensis (Bolivian squirrel monkey)
Lineage: Eukaryota; Metazoa; Chordata; Mammalia; Primates; Cebidae
Description: Metazoan signal recognition particle RNA (ENSSBOG00000005868.1)
Rfam family: Metazoan signal recognition particle RNA
About the family: The signal recognition particle (SRP) is a universally conserved ribonucleoprotein. It is involved in the co-translational targeting of proteins to membranes.
Source: RNAcentral
GCUGGGCAUGGUGGUGCGUGCCUGUAGUCCCAGCUACUUGGGAGGCUGAGGUGGGAGGAUCCCUUGAGCCCAGGAGUUCUGGGCUGUAGUGCACUAUGCCGAUCGGGUGUCUGUACUAAGUUCGGCAUCAAUAUGGUGAUCUCCUGGGAGUGGGGGACCACCAGGUUGCCUAAGGAGGGGUGAACCGGCCCAGGUCAGAAACGGAGCAGGUCAAAACUCCCGUGCUGAUCAGUAGUGGGAUCGCGCCUGUGAAUAACCACUGCACUCCAGCCUGGGCAGCAUAGCGAAACCCCAUCUCU